RNAcentral lists this ribosomal RNA (253 nucleotides) under uncultured bacterium. RNAcentral's name for it is "partial 16S ribosomal RNA". It matches the Rfam family "Bacterial small subunit ribosomal RNA", at positions 524 to 776 of the family's 1533-position model. The record is from RNAcentral.
UACGAAGGUCCCAAGCGUUGUUCGGAAUCACUGGGCGUAAAGGGAGCGUAGGCGGCGUGGUAAGUCAGAUGUGGAAAUCCCGGGGCUCAACCCCGGAACUGCAUCCGAUACUGCCAUGCUAGAGGAUUGGAGAGGUAGCUGGAAUUCUUGGUGUAGCAGUGAAAUGCGUAGAGAUCAAGAGGAACACUCGUGGCGAAAGCGAGCUACUGGACAAUUCCUGACGCUGAGGCUCGAAGGCUAGGUAGCGAAAGGG